RNAcentral lists this ribosomal RNA (422 nucleotides) under Microbacterium sp. oral taxon D16. RNAcentral's name for it is "bacterial SSU rRNA". It matches the Rfam family "Bacterial small subunit ribosomal RNA", at positions 28 to 447 of the family's 1533-position model. Lineage: Bacteria; Bacillati; Actinomycetota; Actinomycetes; Micrococcales; Microbacteriaceae. The record is from RNAcentral.
GAUGAACGCUGGCGGCGUGCUUAACACAUGCAAGUCGAACGGUGAAGGCGGAGCUUGCUCUGCUGGAUCAGUGGCGAACGGGUGAGUAACACGUGAGCAAUCUGCCCCUGACUCUGGGAUAAGCGCUGGAAACGGCGUCUAAUACUGGAUACGAGCUGCGAAGGCAUCUUCAGCAGCUGGAAAGAACUUCGGUCAGGGAUGAGCUCGCGGCCUAUCAGCUUGUUGGUGAGGUAAUGGCUCACCAAGGCGUCGACGGGUAGCCGGCCUGAGAGGGUGACCGGCCACACUGGGACUGAGACACGGCCCAGACUCCUACGGGGGGCAGCAGUGGGGAAUAUUGCACAAUGGGCGCAAGCCUGAUGCAGCAACGCCGCGUGAGGGACGACGGCCUUCGGGUUGUAAACCUCUUUUAAGCAGGGAAG